UGAAAAGUUUUCUAGGGUUCCGUAGCUUUUGCUAGUCUGGUCCGAGAGAAAACCACAAAUUAAUUUUGUGACACGGAAGGAUAAAAGCCUGGGAGAU
This is a non-coding RNA of Lysinibacillus sp. F5, 97 nucleotides long. The record is from Rfam. Lineage: Bacteria; Bacillati; Bacillota; Bacilli; Caryophanales; Bacillaceae.